This 224-nucleotide ribosomal RNA is filed under the name uncultured bacterium. Its description in RNAcentral is "partial 16S ribosomal RNA". It matches the Rfam family "Bacterial small subunit ribosomal RNA", at positions 977 to 1198 of the family's 1533-position model. The record is from RNAcentral.
AGCUCUUGACAUGUCCCGUAUGGUCGCCAGAGAUGGCUUCCUUCCAGCAAUGGGCGGGAACACAGGUGCUGCAUGGCUGUCGUCAGCUCGUGUCGUGAGAUGUUGGGUUAAGUCCCGCAACGAGCGCAACCCUCGCCCUUAGUUGCCAUCAUUCAGUUGGCACUCGUAAGGGACUGCCGGUGAUAAGCCGAGAGGAAGGUGGGAUGACGUCAAGUCCUCAUCGG